UAAGGUGGUUAUAGCGAUGGGGCUCACCUCUUACCAUUCCGAACAGAGAAGUUAAGCCCGUUAGCGCCGAUGGUACUGCAUCCGUGGGAGAGUAGGUCGUCGCCUUUU
This 108-nucleotide ribosomal RNA is filed under the name Flavivirga rizhaonensis. The record is from RNAcentral. Lineage: Bacteria; Pseudomonadati; Bacteroidota; Flavobacteriia; Flavobacteriales; Flavobacteriaceae.